GACGAAUGCUGGCGGCGUGCUUAACACAUGCAAGUCGAGCGGUAAGGCCCUUUCGGGGGUACACGAGCGGCGAACGGGUGAGUAACACGUGGGUGACCUGCCCUCAGCUCUGGGAUAAGCCUGGGAAACCGGGUCUAAUACCGGAUAUGACUCCAUGACGCAUGUUGUGGGGUGGAAAGCCUUGUGCGGCUGAGGAUGGGCCCGCGGCCUAUCAGCUUGUUGGGGGGUGAUGGCCUACCAAGGCGACGACGGGUAGCCGGCCUGAGAGGGCGACCGGCCACACUGGGACUGAGACACGGCCCAGACUCCUACGGGAGGCAGCAGUGGGGAAUCUUGCGCAAUGGGCGAAAGCCUGACGCAGCGACGCCGCGUGA
Molecule: ribosomal RNA, 374 nt
Filed under: uncultured bacterium
Lineage: Bacteria
Description: bacterial SSU rRNA
Rfam family: Bacterial small subunit ribosomal RNA
Source: RNAcentral